Long non-coding RNA from Manacus vitellinus (golden-collared manakin), 840 nucleotides. RefSeq lists it as uncharacterized. The record is from RefSeq and is a predicted model, not a curated record. The transcript is spliced from 3 exons. NCBI's taxonomy places the organism in Eukaryota, Metazoa, Chordata, Aves, Passeriformes, Pipridae.
AGCAGGCAGGACAUGGACUUGUUUAGUUAAUGGUGAUUGUGGUCAGCUCUUCUUUUUCAUGUGUGAGUAAAUGAUUGGUCAUAGGAAAGAGCUGGGAAUUUACUUCCAUUUACUACAGCCAGCUGAAGACAGAUGUUUUCUGAGCUGAAGAAGAUGAACUUUUGUAUUGCAGCUUGCAAGAAUUGAUUAUACACAGGAGCUGAGUAAAUUCAGUCGUUGCCUAGUGCUGGAGGAAGAGGAAUGCAAGUGAAGAUCCUGUUGUUGUCAGUCAAGUUGAAUAAAAAAUGGUUUCUUCUGGAGGAAUUUAUAUGAUGUCUGAAGUACCAUGGUAUUACUUUGUGUAUUAAGAAUGCAAUGAUAAUAGGUUUGCUCUAAAUCUGUGUUUUCUAGUUUUCACUGGCAAAGAAAUAAUCUAAUUCAAGGGUCUAAUUCAAAAGUCCAAUUUGUAUCUUACAUUGUGUGUGUUAGCUGUGCAUCUGUGCUGGCUUGCCUUGAAAGAGCUGCUCUUAUUGGGGAAAACAUGGGUAAGCUGUGAGUGCACUUUCUUGCUGCUCUUUGCUGUUCCAGGGUUUCCAAAAGGUUUCCACACUGGAGAUGGUGUGUGCCAGAGACUGAAAUGUUUGGUAGCUUCAACAUUGUUAAGAUCACCAAAAGACUUUUGUCCACUGUACCAAACUGCAAAGAAACAGCUGCUCAUGCACAUCCUUCCAGGAAUAUGCCUCCUAAUUUGGACUGCAAAGGGACCUUGAGAUAACAUAAGGGGAGUACUAUUGCCCAACUAUUCCAGGUGCAUACCCGAAUCUACAAACUGGAUUUCCAGAUAAGGGGAGAGGCAGACCC